Molecule: non-coding RNA, 471 nt
Organism: Poecilia reticulata (guppy)
Lineage: Eukaryota; Metazoa; Chordata; Actinopteri; Cyprinodontiformes; Poeciliidae
Source: the annotation of a RefSeq genome assembly
AUGUUCUCUGUAGCUCUGCUGCUGCUGCUGGCUGCUGCAUCCUAUGUGAAGUGUGAACAGCUGACCCAACCAGCCUCUGUGACUCUGCAGCCAGGUCAACGUCUGACCAUCAGCUGUCAGGUCUCUUAUUCUACUGGCAGCUACUACACAGCUUGGAUCAGACAGCCUGCUGGGAAAGGACUGGAGUGGAUUGGGAUGAAACAUGGUGGUGGAUCUUCAUACUACAAAGAAUCUCUGAAGAACAAAUUCAGUAUAGAUGCUCAGUCUUUCAGUAGCACAGUGACUCUAACUGGGCAGAAUGUGCAGCCUGAAGACUCUGCUGUGUAUUACUGUGCAAGAUACGACCACAGUGACACAAACAAGCUAAAACGCUCUACAAAAACCCCUAAUGGGAACACGUCUUAUCAAACCACCAGAGGGGGAGCUCUAAACCAUUUCUAUGUUUUUUCUUUCUUUCUUUUUUUUAAUUAA